Prionailurus viverrinus (fishing cat) is the source of this 1990-nucleotide long non-coding RNA. RefSeq lists it as uncharacterized. NCBI's taxonomy places the organism in Eukaryota, Metazoa, Chordata, Mammalia, Carnivora, Felidae. The transcript has 2 exons. The record is from RefSeq and is a predicted model, not a curated record.
GCUGUCAGCACAGAGCCCGACACGGGGCUCGAACUCACAGACCGUGAGAUCAUGACCUGAGCCGAAGUCGGACGCUUAACCGACCGAGCCACCCAGGAGCCCCUGAUUAUAAUUCUUUGUAAUAGAAACUCCACUACAGAGCCUCCAGAUUACGAUCACUUUGAAAUCAGGACUCAGAAGAGGAUCCAGUGAAAAGGAAGCAUGUGGGGAAUCGGAUUUAGAAACAAGCAGCAGCAGAACAACCCUGUGAGGUAAUAAUACUAUGACCUCCAUUUUACAUUACCUCAGAAGGAACUCAAGCAAAGAGAAACUGAGUUGCUUAUCCAAGGUCAUACAGCAGCAAUAUAGAGCCACAAGCUGAAACCAGGUAAUCUGACUCAAGAACCGUGCACUCAUUCAUUAUAUCGUCCUGCAGUUCUGCACAAUGUAUAAAAUGCAAAGGUACUUUCUUAGAAAUAAGACCAUAUGACCAUCUCAAUUUAAUGUUAAAUCUUAUCUUCCUAUUCCCCUCUGCCCAUCCAGAAAAAUACUAACAAUUGUUGGGGAAGCACCCAGUUAGUAAAAGGAGAAACAGGAAUUCACGAUUCAGUGCCCUACGUCCCCAGUUCUCCAUCCAUCAAAUGUAACAUUCCCUUUGUUCAUUUGUUUUUUUUAUUGGUAUUGUAUAGACCUAGUCUUACUAGAGGAGGGCAAAAGACAUGGGCUGAGUUCCAGCUCUGCCUUAACAGGGCAAUGGAAAUUUGGGCAAGUGGUUUGACUUUUUAAAAUCUCAUUUCCACAUUUUGAAAAUGGGAAGAAUAAGGGGCACCUGGCUGGCUCAGCCAGAGGAGCAUGCAACUCUUGAUCUCGGGGUAGUGAGCUCAAGCCUCACGUUGGUUGUAGAGCCUACUUUGAAAAAAAUGGGAAUAAUAAGAUCACCCAACCUAUCUUUAUUCACUUCUCAGAGUAGUGGGUCAGCACUCUGCAUAGGUGAACCUUCCUUAUAAGUUGCUUUCUUUCCUCCACCCUCACCCCCAUCUCCGUGUCUUUUUUUUCCUUCUUUUCUUAUUUCAUGGAAAAAUUAAAAAUAAAAAAAUAAUUAUUUCAUGGACCAUUAUAGCCAAAAGAUACUUGAUUUUCAAACAAUUUCCCCUGAAUGACCCUUAAUGUAUGGAAGGAGUUAUGUCUCUCUGACUGAAUGGGUCACCUCUCCUGGGCUCUAAAGCCCAGAGUUGAGUUGAGCAGCAACAGAGGCAUUCUAUGGAAAUGUUUCUCUUCCUCAGACAGGACAAAGGCAUCUUUAGCAGACAGACCCCAUGUGUCCAGAGCCAGGUACACUUGCCAAUUCCAACAGAAAGCUGUCCUACUUUCUGGGAAAACAAUGGCUGAAGAACAACUAACUUUACAUUCAAAGAAGAUGCCGAGCUAAUUGAAUUUCUUGCAGGUAAGAGUCAAGGUUACAUUAGGCAUUUUAAUACAUUUAACCUCAUAAACAAGGACACAGGAAUCACAGAAAGUUAACUCACUCGUGGUAAGACAUAUAUUAAUUGGCAAAUUGCCUCUGGCUUUGGCACCAUCCCAGUGUGGAGAUUAAUGUGGUGGCCAUGAAGAUGUACCUCACAGCCCUCCAAAUACAGGAAGAAUAACGUCCAAGGGCCUGAAUGCUGUACCCUGAAAUCUGUAGCCUGCUUUGCUUGCAUUCAGGCCAUACGUCCUGUGAGCUGCUCCAGCCAAGACUGAGUGUGGCUAGAAUACAUAAGGUAAAACCAUUCCUAAAAACUGUGGGACUCAGCUGACCACUGACCCGGGCUGACUCAGGGACUCCUCAAUGGCCUCGUGAAUCUUCCCUGGAUGGCACAGGAGUCUAGGCCACUUCACCCAACUUUCUCUUGCUCUUCUUUUCAUUCAGUCAGACUUGCUUCCUGGUCAAAAGUUUCUUCCAUCUUUUUUCUGGGCCCCUCCCCAUUUCACUCACAGUCAUUUCCCCUAGUAAUAUCUUUGCACAUUUAAU